Molecule: ribosomal RNA, 292 nt
Filed under: uncultured bacterium
Lineage: Bacteria
Description: partial 16S ribosomal RNA
Rfam family: Bacterial small subunit ribosomal RNA
Source: RNAcentral
GUGUCAGCCGCCGCGGUAAGACGAACCGAGCAAACGUUAUUCGGAAUCACUGGGCUUAAAGGGCGCGUAGGCGGUCUCGUAAGUCUGCGGUGAAAUCCUCCAGCUCAACUGGAGAACGGCCGUGGAUACUGCGAGUCUCGAGGGAGGUAGGGGCGUGCGGAACAGAUGGUGGAGCGGUGAAAUGCGUUGAUAUCAUCUGGAACUCCGGUGGCGAAGGCGGCACGCUGGACCUCUUCUGACGCUGAGGCGCGAAAGCCAGGGGAGCAAACGGGAUUAGAAACCCCCGUAGUCC